UGGAUCAGUGAUGACCACUGAUGAUGGAUGAUCUUGGGAUCAUGACUACAGGUCUUGGAGUCUGAGGUUCAC
RNAcentral lists this small nucleolar RNA (72 nucleotides) under Cricetulus griseus (Chinese hamster). RNAcentral's name for it is "Small nucleolar RNA SNORD113/SNORD114 family (ENSCGRG00015031356.1)". It matches the Rfam family "Small nucleolar RNA SNORD113/SNORD114 family". Rfam says of the family: The imprinted human domain at 14q32 contains two clusters of tandemly repeated small nucleolar RNAs named 14q(I) and 14q(II) snoRNAs. These two clusters are named SNORD113 and SNORD114 respectively in the HGNC approved gene symbol nomenclature. The snoRNAs found in both clusters are clearly related and are represented here by a single family. Lineage: Eukaryota; Metazoa; Chordata; Mammalia; Rodentia; Cricetidae. The record is from RNAcentral.